AUGGUGGCUCCACAGUAUAGACCUUGGUUAGAUCUUCCGUCAGAACUCUUGGGCCUUGUCCUCAAGCGCCUCCCCUCGCUAGCUGACCGUGUUCGUCUGAGAGCAGUCUAUCACCCAUGGCGCUCUAACAGCCUGCUGCAACCACUUCCCCUCCCAUUCCCAUGGCUCACCCUCCCUGAUGGCACCUUCUUGAGCAUCCCAGGAGGUGAGGUUCACCAGAUGUGUGUACCAGAUGGUGCUCAUUGCCAUGGCUCCAUUGACAACUGGUUAUUCCUCAUGAGCAGUGAUGACGCAUGCACAUUGAUGAACCCUUUCUCUAAGACCACAUUGGAGCUUCCUAAUCCGGUCUCAUUUUUUCAGCGUAUACACGAGGAAUAUGAUCCUAAGCAACUUUUGUACAAGUUGGUGGUACCCUCACCCCUGGACAUAUCACCUAAUUCCCUUGUUGCGGCAUUGAUCAAGGAUGAUGAUAAUAUCAGUGAAGUUUGCACUAGUCAGCCACUGAUUGCCACUUACUCGGUGCAAGGCAAUUCAGUAUAGCGCCUCUUUGAUGCCGCGUUCUUUGAUGGAAAGUUGUACGCGGUGUCUAUCUUUGGCUAGCUCUUCAUCCUUGAGUUAUGCAGAAACCUUGUUGAAUGUGCUGGUAGACUGUUGGCGGUGAAACGAUUCAUUCGUCGCCUGAGCCCUCCCACUGGUGACAAUAUCUUUGACAAUACUCAAACUGCUGGGUUUGUUGUCCUUGAGGCAGACCUGCACUCCAACCCUUGCCGAUGGAAAAGGAUCAGUGAGUUGGGAAGACAUGCUCUCUUUGUUGGCCAGCAUGGCUCCAAGUCUCUGCCUGCUAGAGAAUGCAUCGGAUCCCAGGAGGAUUGCAUCUACUUCAUUUGUGACUAUCCCCAUACAAAGUAUUUUUUGAGUCCAUUUCACGACUGUGGUGUGUACAACAUACGGAAUGGUAUGAUCAUGCCAUUGAUGUCUUAGACUGCAGCACCUGCACAUGAUGCUAGCCAGUGGCGCCCGACAUGGUUUUUCCCUGCCGAACCUAUGUGA
Molecule: ribosomal RNA, 1050 nt
Filed under: Triticum aestivum (bread wheat)
Lineage: Eukaryota; Viridiplantae; Streptophyta; Magnoliopsida; Poales; Poaceae
Description: partial small subunit ribosomal RNA
Source: RNAcentral